GCCCAGCACCGAAUCCUUCACCAUCUCGGUGACAGGAAAUGUGGUGUUUAGGCCGUACCUUGUCCCGACACGUCUCUCCUCAAGUCCACUUGAUUGUGGCCCCAGGCCCAGAGAGGGUGUAAGGCCCGUGGAGGCGAGACGUUCGGUACCUGGUGCGUCCUUAGAGUCGGGUUGUUUGGGAAUGCAGCCCUAAGCGGGUGGUAAACUCCAUCCAAGGCUAAAUACCAGCACGAGUCCGAUAGCGAAGAAGUACCGCGAGGGAAGGUUGAAAAGAACUUUGAAGAGAGAGUUCAAGAGUACGUGAAACCGCUGAGAGGCAAACUGGUGGAACUGAAAUGGUCCCGAGGAAUUCAGCCGUUGGUCGUUGCACAGUCUUUGGUGAUUGAUCUAACGACGGCGCCAUUGAAUGACGUUUCGAUCAUCGGUGCACUUUCCUCGCCUGGGCCCGACCACGACCGGUGAGCUGAUCUGUCUGUCGUGCUUGGAAGAUAGCGCCGUCUUCGGAAGGCGUGUUAUAGACAGGCAUACGGAGCAGUCGGCGCACUGGAUGAUAGUGCCUGCCCAUCUGGGCUCAUAUGGUGGUUGUUUUGUUGGCGAGUUCUGAUGUCACUACUUCGGUAGAGUCGUUAGACUCUGUUGGCAUUAUGGCUGUCCUCUAUGAUUGGCACUGUUAAGUCUGUGGUUGUGAAGUAGGUAGUCCACCUGACCCGUCUUGAAACACGGACCAAGGAGUCUAACAUGUGCGCGAGUCAUUGGGUUCACGAAACCUAAAGGCGCAGUGAAGGUAAAGAUCUGUUUUGGCAGAUUGAGGUGGGAUGCCGGGUUACGCGCCCGGCCGCACUACCGGCCCGUUCUAUAUGUCUUUCAUAGGAGCGGAGCAAGAGCGUACACGUUGGGACCCGAAAGAUGGUGAACUAUGCUUGCGCAGGUCGAAGCCAGAGAA
RNAcentral lists this ribosomal RNA (943 nucleotides) under Thysanozoon brocchii. RNAcentral describes it as "partial large subunit ribosomal RNA". It matches the Rfam family "Eukaryotic large subunit ribosomal RNA", at positions 107 to 859 of the family's 3401-position model. Lineage: Eukaryota; Metazoa; Platyhelminthes; Polycladida; Pseudocerotidae. The record is from RNAcentral.